Molecule: long non-coding RNA, 1141 nt
Organism: Cryptomeria japonica (Japanese cedar)
Lineage: Eukaryota; Viridiplantae; Streptophyta; Pinopsida; Cupressales; Cupressaceae
Exons: 2
Source: RefSeq, a predicted model, not a curated record
AAAAAAAUAUACAAUAUAAAUGAAAUACUACAAAAUGUGUUAGAAUUAUUGUAUUAAUAUAAUAAUUUAUAAAUAUAUUUAUUAAAUUUUUAUUUUUUUUAGUUUGAAGUAUCUUUAUGUAAACUUGGUAUUAUGUUGGUGCUUCUUAGUUUGAAUUGGCAUCAUAGAAAAUUCAUAUCAUGUUGGAGUUUAAAAAAGCAUAUAAUUAAAGAUAAGUAUGUAUUUUUUCUACACUAUAAUUAUUUUUUUAAAACAUUAUAUAUUUGUACAUGAAAAUAUUAUCCUUUAGCUUGAAGUGCCUUUAUGGAAAGUUUGUAUUAUGUUGGUGCUUCAUGUUGAAGCUCAAAAAAGCAUAUAAUUUUAGAUUAGGUAAAUAUUUUUUCUACACAGCAUAGUUAUUAUUUAUUAUAAGAUUAUGCAUUUCUAAGUAGUCAUUAUUUUGAUGAAAUUACAAGAGUUAUUGUAGAAAAUUUUUAUCAUUUAUCUUGGAUUGUCUCUAUGGAAGUUUGGAAUUAUGUUGGUGCUUCAUUUUGAAUCUCAAAAGAGCAUGUUAUUGUAGAUCAGGUAUAUGUUUCUUCUACACAAUAAAUUAAAUGCCCUUUGGUCCUUCAUGUUGAAGCUCAAAAAGGCAUAUAAUUUUAGAUCAAGUAUAUAUUAUUUCUACACAACAUAGUUAUUAUUUAUUAUAAGAUUAUGCAUUUCUAAGUAGUCAUUAUUUUGAUGAAAUUACAGGAGUUAUUAUAGAAAACGUUUAUCCUUGUUUAGCUUGGAUUGUCUCUAUGGAAGUUUGGAAUUAUGUUGGUUCUUCAUUUUGAAUCUCAAAAGAGCAUAUUAUUGUAGAUCAGGACUUACUACAAAAAAGUUUAUCCUUUUGCUUCAAUGACCUUUAUGGAAGAUUGGAAUGAUGUUGAUGCUUUAUGUUAAAGCUAAAAAAAUAAAAUUAUUAUUUGUAUGAUCUUAAAGGAGAUGUUUAACCCUUAGUUUGAAGUGCCUCUAUGAAAACAUGGCAUUACAUCAAUACUUUUUAGCUUGAAGUGGCUCUAUAGAAACUUCAUAUUUUGUUGGAGCUCAAAGGAACAUAUCUUGAUGCUUUGAGAGAUUUUUUGGUUAUUAAUGAAUGUGUGAAAAAUAUUUAUCGUUC